RNAcentral lists this long non-coding RNA (343 nucleotides) under Strongylocentrotus purpuratus (purple sea urchin). Its description in RNAcentral is "uncharacterized LOC115924770". The record is from RNAcentral. Lineage: Eukaryota; Metazoa; Echinodermata; Echinoidea; Camarodonta; Strongylocentrotidae.
AAAGUAGCCUUUCCCGGUGAGCAGUACUGUGUUUAUUGGGGAAAGGGAGCUCUAUUUGUCAGACAUCUGGAAAAUGAAGUCGAGGUGUCAAACAAGGAACUUGAAGAAUGUGCUUUCUUCGACAUGACGACCCAUCGGAUGCCGUUCACUCUUCAGCCACGUGAAAGAAUAGUAUCCGGAGUUCUCGUCACUUUCAUCUUGAAGCAAAAAAUCACCAAGGAUAUCGGCUUUACAGUAUGGUACAAAGAUGUGCCGCAUGAGAAUCCAAGUGCCCAAUCAACUCCGACAGGAUCUGCAUCGUCCAAAGGCAAAGUUGAACCAACUGAUGUUGGACGGGGAACAU